CGCAAUUCUAGGGCAAGGAGAGGACCUUCCAUUUUGGGAGAAAAAGGCGGCGGUUGGGAAAGCAUCUUUGGAGAAGAGAAAAACAGAGUAGAGAGGAUUUGAACGAAGAGCAUUUUUAGAGAGCAGGGCCUUGAGGAGGAGGAACAGCUGGAAACGGAUUGGAGAGGAGCAGAGCAGAGGAGCCUUAGCUUCUAGAGAGGGCUUUUGGGUCCUCCAGGUAUGGUCACUGUGGGUUUCACCUUUAUUUAUUCAUGCUGUUCUCUUCUUUUCUUCAGAGAGCUCAAAAAUCACUUUGCUAUUUAGAUGUGAGUAUCAGAGAAAGCAUCUGAACCUGAUUGAUUUUCUUUAUGGUUGUUCACGAGCUUGGUGUGGCUUAUUUAUCCCUUUCUCCUUUGGUCUAGCUUGAAAAUAAUCUGAUUAUCUUUUUCUUUUUAACUACAUUGAGCCUUGGAAGAUUACAUCUCUGUUUUUCAUUCAUAAAUCUGGGUUUAGCUUCUUCCCUCUCUAUUCAUAAGCACAGGAAUGACUCAUGACAGAUACUUGGUUAAGAAGACUUCUUUGUUUGUGAGUCUGUUUUGCUAAUCGUGCUUUUGAUAUUUUCUCUAUACUAUUGGAGUUUGGUUUGGGUUCAUUUUGACUCCCCAAGAGGAAUUCUACUGGUGCCCUCCCUGUGUUAUGGGGUGAGUAAUGAUAUUCCUAAGGAUUUUAAGAGAGAAAGAACAGGGGAAGGAAUGUCUCAUCAACCUUGCUGAUUUCCCGGACCUGUGAACUUCUCAUUUGAGACUGCCAUUGCUUUCUGUAUUAUUAACGGCAUCCCUGCCAUGGUGGAAAUCUCGUCUUCAUCCUAUACAAGAUGUAUCUUCCGUGUAGUCACCAUCUUUGGAACCCGUUGCUGAAGCUUUCACUAAGUCAAAUUGUGCUCGGUUUCACUUGUUGCUACUGACUUUGCAUGGAACAAUAUAUGGCCAAGAAAGCUCUUAGGAUUUCCACAGCAGAAACAAGGCCAAAGUGGGGUAACCUUAUUUGAGAAGUGUAUUCAGUAGAGAGAGAGAGGUGGCUUUGUCAGAGAGAGAAAUUUAGAAGAAAAUUUGAGGAAUACCCGGAAUCGCGGACUGAGUUGGAGACAAAAACGCGGGUGGCGAAAUUCAACUAGUUAAAAAAAUCUGAAACAUGAGCUCCAAGUCACACAGGAAACUGUGAAGGCACCAGCGAAUGAGGUUUCAAAUCUGGAAAUUAUCUAAGAUUUUUCUUGAUGGUGAGAUUCAAUGGAUUUUUUUCUGGGUUGCAAAAGAAGCCAGUGCAUGGUGAGGUUAACAGUUCGUCCCAAUAGUUCGUUUUCUUCUUCAAGGAUGGGAACUCCAAGGACUGACCACUCGGUGGGGUUAGAAGAUGUAUUUUGGCGGAUGUGGAUAUCAUGAACUAUCAAUUUGUCAAAAUAAAUUUGGUGGUUCCCAUGGUUAUUCGAAUGUCAAAGAAUUGCAAAUCAAGAAGACUUUCCAAGUUGGAAUUUACUG
Molecule: long non-coding RNA, 1514 nt
Filed under: Vitis vinifera (wine grape)
Lineage: Eukaryota; Viridiplantae; Streptophyta; Magnoliopsida; Vitales; Vitaceae
Description: long non-coding RNA (VVIN_LNC002945)
Source: RNAcentral